Molecule: ribosomal RNA, 293 nt
Filed under: uncultured bacterium
Lineage: Bacteria
Description: partial 16S ribosomal RNA
Rfam family: Bacterial small subunit ribosomal RNA
Source: RNAcentral
ACUCCUCGGGAGGCAGCAGUGGGGAAUAUUGCGCAAUGGGCGCAAGCCUGACGCAGCAACGCCGCGUGAGGGAUGACGGCCUUCGGGUUGUAAACCUCUUUCAAGCAGGGACGAUAAUGACGGUACCUGCAGAAAAAGCUCCGGCCAACUACGUGCCAGCAGCCGCGGUAAUACGUAGGGAGCGAGCGUUGUCCGGAUUCAUUGGGCGUAAAGAGCUCGUAGGCGGCUUGAUAAGUCGGAUGUGAAACCUCCAGGCUUAACCUGAAGUCGCCAUCCGAUACUGUCAUGGCUAG